AGUAUUUAAGGGACGUCCGUUGUUCUCUUCGGUCUCAUUUUUCCGUGGUCUUGAUUUGGGGACGUGGUUGCAUUCGGAGGAAUGGAAGUGUGCUCUCGUUUUAAGAAUAUGGUUAAUCUCAACGGAUUUUACACUUUGGAGCCAGGCUAGGCUACUCUUGCAAAUAGGACAUUUUGCUGGUAAUCAAGCAUCCUGUAACUCAAUUCUGAGGAACUCAAACUACAUCCCAGGAUGAAUACAGGUUGUCCUGAUGAUUUGUCUAAAGGAGGUGUGUAUUCCUGUAUACCACGAAUCUCCAGCAUUCAGAGGUUCUGUGAGCAGUAGCAUACCUGUUGGUCCAGAGAUUUGGUAUCUUGCCUAAAGACAAGGAACCAUGCCAGGGAAAUAAAACCUGUCUUCACUCAAGGCCAGGCUGGAAUGAGGUCUGAGGAAAAGAAUGAGGAGCAUGUGAAUGGAAUCCAAAUCUUCAAGAAUGUAAAGACAUCUCUGCUUCCUCUAUGUACAAUUUUGACAAUUUGAAGUUGUGUGUCUUCAUUUUAAUUAAAUUCUUUAGAAUUUGU
Peromyscus leucopus (white-footed mouse) is the source of this 560-nucleotide long non-coding RNA. RefSeq lists it as uncharacterized. The transcript is spliced from 11 exons. Lineage: Eukaryota; Metazoa; Chordata; Mammalia; Rodentia; Cricetidae. The record is from RefSeq and is a predicted model, not a curated record.